Molecule: ribosomal RNA, 524 nt
Filed under: Oligohalinophila dorri
Lineage: Eukaryota; Metazoa; Mollusca; Gastropoda; Neogastropoda; Nassariidae
Description: Nassodonta dorri partial 16S ribosomal RNA
Rfam family: Bacterial large subunit ribosomal RNA
Source: RNAcentral
AAAACAUCGCUCUUUGUAACUUUUAAAUAGAGAGUCGGACCUGCCCAGUGAAUUUUUUUUAACGGCCGCGGUACUCUGACCGUGCAAAGGUAGCAUAAUCAUUUGCCUUAUAAUUGAAGGCUAGUAUGAAUGGUUUGACAAGAAUACGGCUGUCUCUCUAUAAUUUUAUAGAAUCUUAUCUUCAGGUGAAGAAGCCUGGAUUUAACUAAUAGACAAGAAGACCCUAUCGAGCUUGAAAAAAGUUAGUAGAAUAAAUAUAUUAAUUACAUUAAAAAAUUAACUACUAUUAAUUUUAGUUGGGGCGACUAGGGAACAUUUAAAGCUUCCCUUAAAUUGUAAAAAUUAACAUAUUAUGAUCCGAACUUACCGAUUAAAGAAAUUAGUUACCGUAGGGAUAACAGCAUUAUCUUUUUUAAGAGUUCUUAUCGAAAAAAAGGUUUGUGACCUCGAUGUUGGACCAGGAUACCCCAAAGAUGCAGAAGUCUUUAAAGGUUGGUCUGUUCGACCAUUAAAAUCCUACGUGA